Molecule: ribosomal RNA, 253 nt
Filed under: uncultured bacterium
Lineage: Bacteria
Description: partial 16S ribosomal RNA
Rfam family: Bacterial small subunit ribosomal RNA
Source: RNAcentral
UACAGAGGUCUCAACCGUUGUUCGGAUUCAUUGGGCGUAAAGGGUGCGUAGGCGGUCGCGUAAGUCAGGUGUGAAAUCCCGGGGCUCAACCCCGGAACUGCACUUGAUACUGCGUGGCUAGGGUACUGGAGAGGAGACUGGAAUUUACGGUGUAGCAGUGAAAUGCGUAGAUAUCGUAAGGAACGCCAGUGGCGAAAGCGAAUCUCUGGGCAGCAACUGACGCUGAGGCACGAAGGCCAGGGGAGCAAACGGG